GACGAACGCUGGCGGCGUGCUUAACACAUGCAAGUCGAACGGAAAGGCCCUGCUUUUGUGGGGUGCUCGUGUGGCGAACGGGUGAGUAACACGUGAGUAACCUGCCCUUGACUUUGUGAUAACUUCAGGAAACUGGGGCUAAUACCGGAUAGGAUCUCCUGCUGCAUGUUGGGGGUUGGUAAGUUUCGGCGGUUGUGGAUCGACUCGCAGGUUAUCAGCUUGUUUGUGGGGUAGUGGCUUACCAAGGGUUUGACGGGUAGCCGGCCUGAGAGGGUGACCGGCGACAUUGGGACUGAGAUAAGGACCAGAAUCCUACGGGAGGCAGCAGUGGGGAAUAUUGCACAAUGGGAGGAAGCGUGAUGCAGCAACGCGGCGUGCGGGAUGACGGCCUUCGGGUUGUAAACCGAUUUCGCAUGUAACGAAGAGUGAGUGACGGUAAUGGGUAAAGAAGCACCGGCUAACUACGUG
This 468-nucleotide ribosomal RNA is filed under the name uncultured bacterium. Its description in RNAcentral is "partial 16S ribosomal RNA". It matches the Rfam family "Bacterial small subunit ribosomal RNA", at positions 28 to 507 of the family's 1533-position model. The record is from RNAcentral.